RNAcentral lists this ribosomal RNA (1245 nucleotides) under metagenome. Its description in RNAcentral is "bacterial LSU rRNA". It matches the Rfam family "Bacterial large subunit ribosomal RNA", at positions 1564 to 2819 of the family's 2925-position model. The record is from RNAcentral.
UGAAUACGAGACGCUAAGGCGUCGAAGUAGUGUAUGUCAUACUUCCAAGAAAAGCUUGCACUGUCAUAGAUAAAAAACGCCUGUACCAUAACCGACACAGGUGGGUAGGUAGAGUAUACUAAGGGGCGCGAGAUAACUCUCUCUAAGGAACUCGGCAAAAUAACUCCGUAACUUCGGGAGAAGGAGUGCCUUAUUCGUAAGGUUGCAAUAACAAGAUCCAAGCAACUGUUUAUCAAAAACACAGGUCUCCGCUAAGUCGUAAGACGAUGUAUGGGGGCUGACGCCUGCCCAGUGCCAGAAGGUUAAAGAAGUUGGUUAGCAAUUGCGAAGCUGAUAACUGAAGCCCUGGUGAACGGCGGCCGUAACAAUAACGGUCCUAAGGUAGCGAAAUUCCUUGUCGGGUAAGUUCCGACCCGCACGAAAGGCGUAAUGAUUUGGUUACUGUCUCGGAGAGGGGCUCGGUGAAAUAGACUUGUCUGUGAAGAUGCGGACUACCUGCACCAGGACAAAAGACCCUAUGAAGCUUUACUGUAACUUGAAAUUGAAAUUGGGCUUUAUUCGCGCAGUAUAGGUGGGAGGCGUUGAUUAUAAUCUUGUGGGAUUAUUGGAGCCAUCAGUGAGAUACCACUCUUGUAAUGUUAGAUUUCUAACUUUGAAUCAUUAUCUGGUCAAAGAACAGUUUCAGGCGGGCAGUUUGACUGGGGCGGUCGCCUCCUAAACGGUAACGGAGGCGUACAAAGGUUUCCUCUGAACGGUUAGAAAUCGUAUCUAGAGUGUAAAGGCAUAAGGAAGCUUGACUGUGAGACCUACAAGUCGAGCAGGGACGAAAGUCGGUCUUAGUGAUCUGACGGUACUGAGUGGAAAGGCCGUCACUCAACGGAUAAAAGUUACUCUAAGGAUAACAGGCUGAUCUCCCCCAAGAGUUCACAUCGACGGGGAGGUUUGGCACCUCGAUGUCGGCUCAUCGCGUCCUGGGGCGGUAGUACGUCCCAAGGGUUGGGCUGUUCGCCCAUGAAAGCGGUACGCGAGCUGGGUUCAGAACGUCGUGAGACAGUUCGGUCCAUAUCCGGUGUAGGCGUUAGAAUAUUGAGAGGAGCCUUCUUUAGUACGAGAGGACCGAGAAGGACAUACCUCUGGUGUACCAGUUAUCGUGCCAACGGUAAACGCUGGGUAGCUAUGUAUGGAGUGGAUAACCGCUGAAAGCAUCUAAGUGGGAAGCCCACCUCAAGAUAAGUAUUCUCAUCA